UACGGAGGGGACUAGCGUUGUUCGGAAUUACUGGGCGUAAAGCGCGCGUAGGCGGAUUUGCAAGUCGGGGGUGAAAUCCCGAGGCUCAACCUCGGAACUGCCUUCGAUACUGCAAAUCUCGAGUCCGGAAGAGGUGAGUGGAAUUCCUAGUGUAGAGGUGAAAUUCGUAGACAUUCGGAAGAACACCAGUGGCGAAGGCGACACACUGGCCCAUUACUGACGCUGAGGCUCGAAAGCGUGGGGAGCAAACAGG
Molecule: ribosomal RNA, 253 nt
Filed under: uncultured bacterium
Lineage: Bacteria
Description: partial 16S ribosomal RNA
Rfam family: Bacterial small subunit ribosomal RNA
Source: RNAcentral